Long non-coding RNA from Ochotona princeps (American pika), 649 nucleotides. RefSeq lists it as uncharacterized. Lineage: Eukaryota; Metazoa; Chordata; Mammalia; Lagomorpha; Ochotonidae. The record is from RefSeq and is a predicted model, not a curated record. The transcript is spliced from 2 exons.
CUCUAUUUAGCUCCAGCUCCCACAGUGGAUCAAGGCGUUGGUCACUGCAUCACUCAUCAGCAUCCACAUUUGGCAGCCAGCUUGCCCCAGGCAUGACCCCAUUUGCAAGGCUGCUUUACAUGUGGACCGGUGCAAAAAAAAAAAAAUCUGCUACUCCUCACACAGGACAUGUUCUGCAGUGUCUUUCUUACAGGGACUUUUUGAGUGGGUGACAAUGAAAGAAACCGCUAAAGGUGGCAGUCACAAAGAGGAGGACGACCUGGAUGUGGAUGUGAUUGGCCACAACACCUCACAGCUCUUGGCUGCAAAUGAAUCAAGUGACCUUUAACUACUGCAAAUAUAGUUCUCUUAUACUCAUACCCUGUUAAUGUUCAUACUAUGCAAAAGCAGCUGGCUGUUUUGGCUGCAAGUCUAAUUUAUACUUGGGACGUACCACAGAUCUCUUUAAGGGUUUUUUUCCUUAGGAGUCUGCAGACAAAACAAACAAUGGACUUUGAAAGGUAGACAGCUCAAAAAGUUUCAAAAUCAGCUAAAAUAUUGGCCAGUGUGAAGAUAGCCUAGAGUUUCAUCCAACGCCUGGCUGCUACAAGACUGCCAAGAAGAGGAUCUCAGGGAUUUGAGUUUUUUGAAAACAAACCUCUCAAUCUAA